This 303-nucleotide ribosomal RNA is filed under the name Triticum aestivum (bread wheat). RNAcentral's name for it is "partial small subunit ribosomal RNA". The record is from RNAcentral. Lineage: Eukaryota; Viridiplantae; Streptophyta; Magnoliopsida; Poales; Poaceae.
GCCGUGGACAAUGUGUUCCCUGGAGUAGAGCAUAGGGAAUGCAUGCGUCACCUUGCUGCAAAUUUCAUGAAUAAAUUCAAAGGAAAGGUGUAUACCGAUAAUUUAUGGCCAGCAUCUUUGACUUGCGGUGUGAAAAAGCACAACUACCACUUGAGGCAGUUAUACAUGAAUCCCAAAGUGAAAGAAUACUUGGAAACACACCACUCCAAGUUAUGGGCCAGAAGCCAAUUCAGUGAACCGAACAAAGUUGACUAUGUGCACAAUAAUCUAGCAGAGUCUUUCAACUCAACGAUCCAGAAAGUA